RNAcentral lists this ribosomal RNA (850 nucleotides) under Semisulcospira reiniana. RNAcentral's name for it is "partial 16S ribosomal RNA". It matches the Rfam family "Bacterial large subunit ribosomal RNA", at positions 1413 to 2570 of the family's 2925-position model. Lineage: Eukaryota; Metazoa; Mollusca; Gastropoda; Semisulcospiridae. The record is from RNAcentral.
UGUCGGGGAAAAGUAUAAUUUAUAAUACUAAUUAUUAUAUAUGUAUAUAUUUUUACUAAUUUUUUUGAGGAUAAGCUCAAAAAAAAGUUAAGAUUUUUUUAAUUAAAUUUAUUGUGUAGGCUUAAAAUUGGCCACUACGAAAGUUUUUUAUAAAAUAAUAAUUUUUAGCUAUAUAAAUAAAUAUAAUUUAGACUAACUUCUUAUAAGGAUAAGAGCUUUAAUUAAAAAUAAGCUUUAUGCCUAUGCUAGAAUGAGUAUUAAAACAUAAUUUUUAAAGAAAUUUAAAUAUAUUUUCUUCAUAAAAAAAAUUAAAAAAAAUUAAUUGAUUAGAAGGAACUCGGCAAAUUUAGUUGCUUCGCCUGUUUAUCAAAAACAUGGCUCUUUGGUAUAUAAAUAUAAAGAGUCGAGCCUGCCCAGUGAAUUUUUAACGGCCGCGGUACUUUGACCGUGCAAAGGUAGCAUAAUCAUUUGCCUUAUAAUUGAAGGCUGGUAUGAAUGGUUUGACGAAAGCAGCACUGUCUCCUUUUUAUUUUCAAGAAUUUAACCUUUAGGUGAAGAGGCCUAAAUUUUAUUGAAGGACAAGAAGACCCUGUCGAGCUUAAAAGACAUUAUAGGAUCCUAUAUAUUUUUAAAUAGACUUUUCUAUUUAGCUUUUUAGUUGGGGCGACUAAGGAACAGAAAAAGCUUCUUCUUAGCAAUAAACGAUCAUGUUUAGAUCCGAUAAAUCGAUCAGAGAAAUUAGUUACCGCAGGGAUAACAGCAUAAUCUCUCUUGAGAGACCUAAUCGAAAGAGGGGGUUGUGACCUCGAUGUUGGACUAAAAUAUCCUAAAGAUGCAGAAGUCUUUGAGG